Molecule: ribosomal RNA, 237 nt
Filed under: uncultured Candidatus Saccharibacteria bacterium
Lineage: Bacteria; Candidatus Saccharimonadota
Description: partial 16S ribosomal RNA
Rfam family: Bacterial small subunit ribosomal RNA
Source: RNAcentral
UAAGUAGAUAGUGAAAUCUGGCGGCUCAACCGUACAGACUAUUAUCUAAACUGGCAAACUCGAGAACGGUAGAGGUAACUGGAAUUUCUUGUGUAGGAGUGAAAUCCGUAGAUAUAAGAAGGAACACCAAUGGCGUAGGCAGGUUGCUGGACCAUUUCUGACACUGAGGCACGAAAGCGUGGGGAGCGAACGGGGAUUAGAUACCCCGGUAGUCCACGCCGUAAACUAUGGAUACUA